Molecule: long non-coding RNA, 1106 nt
Organism: Tachysurus fulvidraco (yellow catfish)
Lineage: Eukaryota; Metazoa; Chordata; Actinopteri; Siluriformes; Bagridae
Exons: 4
Source: RefSeq, a predicted model, not a curated record
UUUAAACAGCAGGACUUAUUUCUGUUAUUAUAUUUUUUUAAAACAGCGUAGAGUUUGACUGGAAACGAUCGUAUUAAAUAUCCUGCAUGUUACAGCACCCCUCUUUCUUUGGUGCGUGCGACCGGCUCACUUGACAUUUCCCGCGAAAGUUUUUUUUUUUUAUAUAUAUAUAGAUCUUUUUGCCGCUCCAAUAUCAAUUAUUAAUCAGUCCCAGUGACGUCACUCAAGGAGUUUUUUAGAAUCCGAAUCCGAAUCAGAAGAAUUUUUAUUGCCAGUGAGGAUGAUCUCAUGGAAGCUCCACUACCCCACCCAGCCUGACCAAAUUCCUAGUGUGAGGAAAUGAGAUGUGGAUGCGUUUUUAUGGAAAUAGUGUUGGGGGGGUGACAGGAAGCCAAAGUCUCUACAGCUGUGAUUUGUCUCACCCCUCCUAGCCAGCAGGGAAUAACCCCUUGUGCGUGUGUGCAUGCAUACUCCAACAAAGUCACAUACUGUCUAAGCAUACUGUGACUGUUAUUGAAGCUACAGGUGUCCUGUGGAUAUCCCCCGCAUACUGUAUUUCCAUUGUUUGUUUCUGCUGUUUAUAUUUUAGACAUUCACCUCUAGUGUACUUUGGGGAAUUUAAUGCUUUUAUUAUAAAGCUAGUGUUGCCAAACAGACCAUCUUCAUGGUAUUUUUAAAUCAUCACACCAUGGUCUUGACUUCAAACUCCUGUAGUGUGCCUGCUUGCCUUGUGCUACCCUCAGAAUGGGACACAUAAUAUCUCCCUAAUAGGAAGGGGUCUAGAAAGUGGCUCAGGCACAUAACAGAAGUGCAUGGGUUGUAUCAUAAUUGGUUUAGAAGUGCUCUAGAAUAUUCUGUAUUGUAGAAUAUUGUAACUGUUCUUAUUUCCUUAUUACGGAAGGAUGGUGGUUUCCUGUCCAAUUUUCAAUUUCAAUCAGAGGGAACUAUAGCCAAUGAAAUUCUUAUGUUACAGUUGUACACUCCUGAACAGACAUAAGUGGAAUGAAAAUUCUGAUAAAAAAAAUAAAAUAACAUAUUCUAACCUAAAAAUUAGUUUCAUGAUUGAGUUGAGUUUCAUAUGGAAGGUAAUGAGCACACAGUAGAAG